AUUCAAUCCAUGUCAUCAAGCCACGUCAUAUCCCAUUUGUUCCUUCGCCCUUCGAUCCCUCUCCCACUACUCGCCUCUUCGAUCCCUCCCCCACUCUCCGCCGCUUCGGUCCCUCCCCUACUCCCGCCGCUUCGAUCGCUCCCCGCCUCCCGCCGCUUCGAUCUCUACCUCGCCUCCCGCCGCUUCGAUCUCUACCUCGCCUCCUCUUCGAUCCUUCCUUCGCCUCUUCCAUCUCUCUCUUCUCUUUAUCAUCUCGCUCCUCAAAACCCUAAUAAUCAUA
Molecule: long non-coding RNA, 280 nt
Filed under: Ananas comosus (pineapple)
Lineage: Eukaryota; Viridiplantae; Streptophyta; Magnoliopsida; Poales; Bromeliaceae
Description: long non-coding RNA (ACOM_LNC012006)
Source: RNAcentral